Molecule: long non-coding RNA, 2317 nt
Organism: Pongo pygmaeus (Bornean orangutan)
Lineage: Eukaryota; Metazoa; Chordata; Mammalia; Primates; Hominidae
Exons: 3
Source: RefSeq, a predicted model, not a curated record
UGUAUUUUUAGUAGAGAUGGGGUUUUGCCAUGUUGGCCAGGCUGGUCUUGAACUCCUGACCUCAGGUAAUCCACCCACCUCAGCCUCCCAAACUGUUGGGAUUAUAGGCAUAAACCACAGCACCUGGCCUAACAGUUAUUUUUAAAAAUAAUUUCUACCAACUGUAAUCGGUCAUCCCCUUUCCUGACAGACAUUUGGCCCCCUUGAUGACAUCUCCAGCUGGUUCCAAAACUUUUCAGUUGUUUUUAGUUAUUAAUGUAGUCUCUUGUUUCAGCCAUUAACUUUGUCUUUCCAUUUUCGAAGGUCAGUCUCCUUUGGGACUCACAGUCUAGCAGGCAGGCCUUGUGGCAUGGAGGGGAGAUGGGUCUGCUCUCUCUUCUCUGCCCUCUGGUGGGGAGAAACAAGAAGGAAAAAAAGGACUUGUUUCCUUAGGUGUCCCCUGCUGGCCCUUGGCUGACCUCUUCUUCGCUUCUUGCGAGGUGUCUGUGUUCCUGUCCUCUAGGACAUCACAGCUGCUCAGCUCCUUAUCUGUAGACACGGGGUGAUGGAGUAGCACGCUGCGAAAGGGCUUGGUGCCAAGUAGCUCUCCUCUGCUGGUGGAGUCUGGCUCACCCUUCACAGUGCACCUCUUUGCCCCCCGCAGGCCUGCUGCCCCAUCACAUCUACCAUCUGCAGCCCCAGCCUGGGGCCUGUGGACACAGGCCUGUCUCAGAAAAAAUCUCAGAAUCCAUCUUUCUGCCACUCCUUGCCACCUGAUCACAUCCUUGGCCUUCCCUCUCCAUGCCCUUUCCCCUAUUUCCGUAGCACCAGGACAGGUUUGGCAAGUGUAGUUGCUCAGCAAACAUCAUGAGGGAAGGAGAAGUCAGAUGCCCUCUGGUGGCACCCCACACCUGAUGAAUGAUUCUUUUGGCUCUAUUCCAGUUAGCUACUGUCCUAGUUAGCUCUGUUCCAGUUAGCUUGUGUAACUGUAACGGAUCAGCCUCAACUUUGAGGUAUAACACAAUCACCAUUUCAUCAUGGUCAUGGAAUCUGUGGGUCAGGAGUUUCACAAGGCACAGCGGGGAUGACUGGUCUCUGCUUACGGUAGGUGGCCUCCAAGAUGGCUCCCAAAGACCCCUCCCCCCUGGUAUUCACCCCCUUGUGUAGUCCCCUUCCACACCAUAUCAUGUUGGUCUGUGUGACCAAUAGAAUAUGGCAGAAGUGAUAGUAUGUCACUUUUGAAGCUAGGUUGUGGAAGAUAGUGUGAGGCUGGGCGCGGUGUCUUACGCUUAUAAUCCCAGCACUUGGGGAGGCCAAGGUAGAAGGAUCGCUUGAAGCCAGGAGUUUGAGACCAAUCUGGGCAACAUAGAGAGACCCUGUCUCUACAAAAAAAAUUUAAAAAAUUAGCCGGUGCAGAACGAGACUCCGUCUCAAAAAAAAAAAAAAAAAAUUAGCCGGUGCAAUGACUCACACCUGUAGUCGCAUCUAGUUGGGAGGCUGAGGCAGGAGGAUUGCUUGAACACAGGAGGUAGAGGCUAUAGUGAUCUGUGAUUGUGCCACUCUGCAUUCUAGCCUGGGUGACAGAACAAGACCCUGUCUCAGAAAAAAAAAAAAAGAAGAUAUUGUGGCUUCUGCCUCUCUGUCUCUUGGAUCACUCCCUUGGGGAAGCCAGGUGCUGGGUUGUGAGGCCAGCUGCCUCUAUGGAGAGGCCCACCUGGAGAGGAACUGAGGCUUCCUGACAAUGUCCACAUGAAUGAGCUUGGAAAUGGAUCCUCUGGCCCCAGAGAAAGCAGAUGACUGCAGCCCUGGCCGACAGCUUAACUGCAAUUUCAUGAGAGACCUCGAAUCAGAAUCACCCAGAUAUGCUGCUCUUGGAUUCCUGACUAUCAGAAACUGUUAGAGAUGGGGCUUCGCCAUGUUGGUCAGAGUGGCCUUGAACUCCUGACUUCAGAUGAUCCGCCUGCCUUGGCCUCCCAAAGUGCUGGGAUUACAGGCCCGUCCCCAGUUGGUGAGUUUUCCAGUGGCCGGAAGACUGAGCCCUAGAGUAACAGCUGUGGACUCACUGCCCACUCUGUGUUUAUUGGGCUGGAACACCCUCUCUAUCCUGGAACUUCUGGUUGGACAGCGCUCUGAGCUUGUGGGGCCUGUGGAUGGUGGAUCUUGGAGUGAUUUCCAGCCCCAGUGAUCAGGUCUCCUGUCAGUGCCCCUUAACUACCUGUGGCCCACUACUUCCCAUCACGCCAACUCCCAAGUUCCAGGAUGUGACAGUUCCCAGGUCUACUGCCUUCCAGGCACGGAGCUCAUGUUGGGGACCCAGAAAUAAAUGAGAUACAUACAA